UGGCGGCCUUAGCGCGGUGGUCCCACCUGACCCCAUGCCGAACUCAGAAGUGAAACGCCGUAGCGCCGAUGGUAGUGUGGGGUCUCCCCAUGCGGGA
This 97-nucleotide ribosomal RNA is filed under the name Escherichia coli STEC_DG131-3. The record is from RNAcentral. Lineage: Bacteria; Pseudomonadati; Pseudomonadota; Gammaproteobacteria; Enterobacterales; Enterobacteriaceae.